This 253-nucleotide ribosomal RNA is filed under the name uncultured bacterium. Its description in RNAcentral is "partial 16S ribosomal RNA". It matches the Rfam family "Bacterial small subunit ribosomal RNA", at positions 524 to 776 of the family's 1533-position model. The record is from RNAcentral.
CACGUAGGGGACGAGCGUUGUCCGGAUUCAUUGGGCGUAAAGCGCGCGUAGGCGGCUCGGAAAGUCGGUCGUGAAAUGCCGGGGCUCAACCCCGGGACUGCGUCCGAUACUCUCGAGCUGGAGGCAGGUAGGGGAGAUCGGAAUUCCUGGUGUAGCGGUGAAAUGCGCAGAUAUCAGGAGGAACACCGGUGGCGAAGGCGGCCCCCUGGACCGGUACUGACGCUGAGGCGCGAAAGCGUGGGUAGCAAACGGG